This is a non-coding RNA of Cinara cedri, 326 nucleotides long. NCBI's taxonomy places the organism in Eukaryota, Metazoa, Arthropoda, Insecta, Hemiptera, Aphididae. The record is from the annotation of a GenBank genome assembly.
UUUAAAUAUAUAUGCAUUAAGAUUAGAUGAUCUAUCUCAGCUGGAUAUUAUGUAAAACUAUACGAGUGAACUUGUAAAAAUGAAUACCGAAACUUCGAAUUCGUUAUUUAUAGUCAUGACUAAAAUAAAUAAUAAUUACAUAGUUCAUGCCAUAGUAUAACUAUGUUCACGUAGGUUUUGACUGGGUGAGGUAAUUAUAUUCAGAGUACUGUUCUUAGAAAGUAAUCGGUUUAAAAAAUUUGUCAUUUUUUUUCAAAUUAAUUUACCAAUCUUUUUUUGUAUUAUGCUAAAAAGAGCUAUUUUAAAAUAAAUUCAGGGAGAGGUUA